CACGUAGGGUGCAAGCGUUGUCCGGAUUUAUUGGGCGUAAAGGGCUCGUAGGCGGUUCGACAAGUCGGGUGUGAAACCUCCAGGCUCAACCUGGAGUCGCCACUCGAAACUGUUGUGACUAGAGUCCGGUAGGGGAGCAUGGAAUUCCUGGUGUAGCGGUGGAAUGCGCAGAUAUUGGGAAGAACACCAGUGGCGAAGGCGGUUCUCUGGGACGGUACUGACGCUGAGACGCGAAAGCGUGGGGAGCGAACAGG
This 254-nucleotide ribosomal RNA is filed under the name uncultured bacterium. RNAcentral's name for it is "partial 16S ribosomal RNA". It matches the Rfam family "Bacterial small subunit ribosomal RNA", at positions 524 to 776 of the family's 1533-position model. The record is from RNAcentral.